Molecule: ribosomal RNA, 344 nt
Filed under: uncultured cyanobacterium
Lineage: Bacteria; Bacillati; Cyanobacteriota
Description: partial 16S ribosomal RNA
Source: RNAcentral
GGAGUCUGGGCCGUGUCUCAGUCCCAAUGUGGCUGAUCAUCCUCUCAAACCAGCUACUGAUCGUCGCCUUGGUGGUCCAUUACACCCCCAACUAGCUAAUCAGAUGCAGACUCAUCCCAGAGCACCGGAGUUUUCACGAAUAGCAUCUCAGCUACGCGCAUAUGCGGUAUUAGCAGCCGUUUCCAACUGUUGUCCCCCUCUGAAAGGCAGGUUGCUCACACAUUACUCACCCGUCCGCCACUAAGUCAAAUCAGAUUUUGACGAAUCUCCAUCCAAAGUGCUUCGUUCGACUUGCAUGUGUUAGGCACGCCGCCAGCGUUCAUCCUGAGCCAUGAUCAAACACU